RNAcentral lists this ribosomal RNA (405 nucleotides) under uncultured bacterium. RNAcentral describes it as "bacterial SSU rRNA". It matches the Rfam family "Bacterial small subunit ribosomal RNA", at positions 355 to 776 of the family's 1533-position model. The record is from RNAcentral.
UGGGGAAUAUUGGGCAAUGGAGGCAACUCUGACCCAGCAACGCCGCGUGAAGGAUGAAGGUUCUAGGAUUGUAAACUUCUGUCGCAGAGGACGAAGAAUGACGGUACUCUGUAAGAAAGCCCCGGCAAACUAUGUGCCAGCAGCCGCGGUAAUACAUAGGGGGCGAGCGUUGUCCGGAAUGACUGGGCGUAAAGGGAGUGUAGGUGGCUUGGUAAGUUAUGAGUGAAAGCCCGCGGCUUAACUGCGGAACUGCUCAUAAAACUGUCAGGCUUGAGUACAGGAGAGGUAAGCGGAAUUCCUAGUGUAGCGGUGGAAUGCGUAGAUAUUAGGAAGAACACCAGAGGCGAAGGCGGCUUACUGGACUGAAACUGACACUGAGGCUCGAAAGCGUGGGGAGCAAACAGG